This 1451-nucleotide ribosomal RNA is filed under the name Candidatus Woesearchaeota archaeon. RNAcentral's name for it is "bacterial SSU rRNA". It matches the Rfam family "Archaeal small subunit ribosomal RNA". The record is from RNAcentral. Lineage: Archaea; Nanobdellati; Candidatus Woesearchaeota.
GUUCCCGUUGAUCCUGCGGGAGGUUGCUGCUAUCGGGAUUCGAUUAAGCCAUGCAAGUCUUUCCGCAAGGAAGGCAAACUGCUGAGUAACACGUCGAUAACUUACCCUAAGGUCCGGGAUACCCUCGGGAAACUGAGGAUAAGACCGGAUCGGGAAGAUGCCCUGGAACGGGCUUUUCCACAAACGCAAGGCCUUAGGAUAGGACGGCGGCGGAUUAGGUAGUUGGUGAGGUAAUGGCUCACCAAGCCAAAGAUCCGUAGGGGCCCUGAAAGGGGGAGCCCCCAGAAGGGCACUGAGAUACUGGCCCUAGCCCUACGGGGUGCAGCAGGCGCGGAACCUUUACAAUGCACGCAAGUGUGAUAAGGGAAUCCCGAGUGCUCAUGCUACGCAUGGGCUUUUGCCAUGGGCGAAUAAGUGGUGGGCAAUACCUGUGCCAGCCGCCGCGGUAACCCAGGAGCCACAAGUGGCAACCGCUUUUAUUGGGCCUAAAGCGUCCGUAGCCGGCUUGGCAAAUCUUCUGUGAAAUUCUUCGGCUUAACCGGAGAGCGUGCAGGAGAAACUGCCUCGCUAGGGACUGGGAGGCGUGAGGGGUAUUUCAGGGGGAGCGGUAAAAUGUUAUAAUCCCUGAAGGACCACCUGUGGCGAAGGCGCCUCACGAGAACAGAUCCGACGGUGAGUGACGAAAGCUAGGGGAGCAAAACGGAUUAGAUACCCGAGUAGUCCUAGCCGUAAACGCUGCAAGCUAGGUGUCGCACAAUCUUCGGGAUUGUGCGGUGUCGUAAUGAAGAUGUUAAGCUUGCCGCCUGGGAAGUAUGGUCGCAAGGCUGAAACUUAAAGGAAUUGGCGGGGGAGCACCACAAGGGGUGCGGCGUGCGGUUUAAUCCAACUCAACGCGGAGAAUCUCACCAGGAGCGACGGCAGGAUGAAGGACAGUCUGAAGGGCUUUCCCAACGAGCCGAGAGGUAGUGCAUGGCCGUCGUCAGCUCGUGCCGUGAGGUGUCUUGUUAAGUCAAGCAACGAGCGAGACCUGUGCCUACAAUUGCUAGCGGGUCCCACGGGAUGACUGUGCACAUUGUAGGAACUGCCCUCGAAAGGGGGAGGAAGGUGCAGGCAACGGUAGGUCUGUAUGCUCCGAAUCUUCUGGGCAACACGCGCGCAACAAUGAUAGGGACAAUGUGAUGCGACUCCGAAAGGAGAAGCUAAUCCUCGAAACCCUAUCCCAGUGCAGAUCGAGGGCUGUAACUCGCCCUCGUGACGUCGGAAUCCCUAGUAAUCGGGUGUUAGCAUCGCCCGGUGAAUAUGUCCCUGCUCCUUGCACACACCGCCCGUCAAACCACCCGAGCAGGGUUUAGAUGAGGUCCCAUUUUCAAUGGGCUCGAAUCUAAGCUCAGCGAGGAGGGUUAAGUCGUCACAAGGUAGCCGUAGGGGAACCUGCGGCUGGAUCACCUCCU